Molecule: long non-coding RNA, 755 nt
Filed under: Rattus norvegicus (Norway rat)
Lineage: Eukaryota; Metazoa; Chordata; Mammalia; Rodentia; Muridae
Description: long non-coding RNA NONRATT022756
Source: RNAcentral
CCGGCCACACCUAUUCUGCUCCUCAGCCGGUCCUCUCUUCCUUUUGCUCAGUGAUGCUUUCAAAUAGUCCAGGCUCUUUUAAACUGCCACGAUAGCUGAGGCUGGUCUUUGGAGUGCUGGGAUUAUAGAUGAGAGCCAUGCUGCCCAGCCUUAUAUUUCUUUACUUUUUAGGUUACAUUAUUCUGCUAUGGGUAGUCUUGGCUGAGACGGUGGCUCACACAGCAAAGUGUGUUCCACGAGAGCGAGAGAACCUGAGCUCAGACCCCAACACUCACAUGGGAAGCUGGGUGCGGUGGCUUGUGUCUCUAAUCUCAGCACUGUGGAGGAGACAGAUGCAUUUCUGGGGCUUGCUGGCCAGCCAGCCUAGUUGAAUUGGCGUGGUUCAAUGGAAGAUCUCGUCUCAAAAAGAAAGAUGGAGAUCAAUUAAGAAAGAUGGGGGCUGGGGAUUUAGCUCAGUGGUAGAGCGCUUACCUAGGAAGCGCAAGGCCCUGGGUUCGGUCCCCAGCUCCGAAAAAAAGAAAAAAAAAAAAAAAAAAAGAAAGAAAGAUGGGCAAUGACAACUUCUAACCCCCCUCAUUCCUAUGUGUAUACACAUACAUGCCCACGUGUGUACACCCACAUAAGCAUACAUUUAUGCGGGUGCACACACACACAGAGUGUUGAAUUUAUGCUAUUUUUAACCCUGAGUGGCCGCCUAUCACACAAGGAUAUUACUCAUUCAAAUUUACUACAGUCCUGUAACUGGUACACAGCUG